Molecule: ribosomal RNA, 370 nt
Filed under: uncultured organism
Description: bacterial SSU rRNA
Rfam family: Bacterial small subunit ribosomal RNA
Source: RNAcentral
CGUAGGUGGCAAGCGUUGUCCGGAAUUAUUGGGCGUAAAGAAUGCGUAGGCGGCUUUUUAAGUGGGAUGUGAAAUCCCUGGGCUCAACCCAGGAACUGCAUUCCAAACUGGAAGGCUAGAGUGUGGGAGAGGAAAAUGGUAUUCCCAGUGUAGCGGUGAAAUGCGUAGAGAUUGGGAGGAACACCAGUAGCGAAGGCGAUUUUCUGGAACAUAACUGACGCUGAGGCAUGAAAGCGUGGGGAGCAAACAGGAUUAGAUACCCUGGUAGUCCACGCCGUAAACGAUGAGUACUAGGUGUAGGGGGGUACCACCCCCUGUGCCGCAGUUAACACAUUAAGUACUCCGCCUGGGAAGUACGAUCGCAAGAUUA